This 734-nucleotide ribosomal RNA is filed under the name Staphylococcus warneri. Its description in RNAcentral is "bacterial SSU rRNA". It matches the Rfam family "Bacterial small subunit ribosomal RNA", at positions 84 to 801 of the family's 1533-position model. The record is from RNAcentral. Lineage: Bacteria; Bacillati; Bacillota; Bacilli; Caryophanales; Staphylococcaceae.
CUUUGACGUUAGCGGCGGACGGGUGAGUAACACGUGGAUAACCUACCUAUAAGACUGGGAUAACUUCGGGAAACCGGAGCUAAUACCGGAUAACAUAUUGAACCGCAUGGUUCAAUAGUGAAAGGCGGCUUUGCUGUCACUUAUAGAUGGAUCCGCGCCGUAUUAGCUAGUUGGUAAGGUAACGGCUUACCAAGGCAACGAUACGUAGCCGACCUGAGAGGGUGAUCGGCCACACUGGAACUGAGACACGGUCCAGACUCCUACGGGAGGCAGCAGUAGGGAAUCUUCCGCAAUGGGCGAAAGCCUGACGGAGCAACGCCGCGUGAGUGAUGAAGGUCUUCGGAUCGUAAAACUCUGUUAUCAGGGAAGAACAAAUGUGUAAGUAACUGUGCACAUCUUGACGGUACCUGAUCAGAAAGCCACGGCUAACUACGUGCCAGCAGCCGCGGUAAUACGUAGGUGGCAAGCGUUAUCCGGAAUUAUUGGGCGUAAAGCGCGCGUAGGCGGUUUUUUAAGUCUGAUGUGAAAGCCCACGGCUCAACCGUGGAGGGUCAUUGGAAACUGGAAAACUUGAGUGCAGAAGAGGAAAGUGGAAUUCCAUGUGUAGCGGUGAAAAUGCGCAGAGAUAUGGAGGAAACACCAGUGGCGAAGGCGACUUUUCUGGUCUGUAACUGACGCUGAUGUGCGAAAGCGUGGGGGAUCAAACAGGAUUAGAUACCCUGGUAGUCCACGCC